GACGAACGCUGGCGGCGUGCUUAACACAUGCCAGUCGAACGGAAAGGCCCUGCUUUUGUGGGGUGCUCGAGUGGCGAACGGGUGAGUAACACGUGAGUAACCUGCCCUUGACUUUGGGAUAACUUCAGGAAACUGGGGCUAAUACCGGAUAGGAGCUCCUGCUGCAAGGUGGGGGUUGGAAAGUUUCGGCGGUUGGGGAUGGACUCGCGGCUUAUCAGCUUGUUGGUGGGGUAGUGGCUUACCAAGGCUUUGACGGGUAGCCGGCCUGAGAGGGUGACCGGACACAUUGGGACUGAGAUACGGCCCAGACUCCUACGGGAGGCAGCAGUGGGGAAUAUUGCACAAUGGGCGGAAGCCUGAUGCAGCAACGCCGCGUGCGGGAUGACGGCCUUCGGGUUGUAAACCGCUUUCGCCUGUGACGAAGCGUGAGUGACGGUAAUGUGUAAAGAAGCACCGGCUAACUACGUG
RNAcentral lists this ribosomal RNA (468 nucleotides) under uncultured bacterium. RNAcentral describes it as "partial 16S ribosomal RNA". It matches the Rfam family "Bacterial small subunit ribosomal RNA", at positions 28 to 507 of the family's 1533-position model. The record is from RNAcentral.